GUCUAUAGCCAUGCCACCCUGAAUGUGCCCAAUCUAGUCUGAUCUCAGAAGCUAAGCAGGGUCGGGCCUGGUUAGCACUUGGAUGGGAGACCACCUAGGAAUACCUGGUGCUGUAGACG
RNAcentral lists this ribosomal RNA (119 nucleotides) under Pteropus alecto (black flying fox). Lineage: Eukaryota; Metazoa; Chordata; Mammalia; Chiroptera; Pteropodidae. The record is from RNAcentral.